AAACUCAAAGGAAUUGACGGGGAGCACCACAACGGGUGGAGCUUGCGGUUUAAUUGGAUUCAACGCCGGAAAUCUUACCGGGACCGACAGCAAUAUGAAGGCCAGGCUGAAGACUUUGCCGGAUUAGCUGAGAGGUGGUGCAUGGCCGUCGUCAGUUCGUACUGUGAAGCAUCCUGUUAAGUCAGGCAACGAGCGAGACCCACGCCCACAGUUGCCAGCGUACUCUCCGGAGUGACGGGUACACUGUGGGACCGCCGCUGCUAAAGCGGAGGAAGGAAUGGGCAACGGUAGGUCAGUAUGCCCCGAAUAUCCCGGGCUACACGCGAGCUACAAUGGUUGGUACAAUGGGUAUCUACCCCGAAAGGGGACGGGAAUCUCCUAAAACCAAUCUUAGUUCGGAUUGAGGGCUGCAACUCGCCCUCAUGAAGCUGGAAUCCGUAGUAAUCGCGUUUCAACAGAACGCGGUGAAUACGUCCCUGCUCCUU
RNAcentral lists this ribosomal RNA (485 nucleotides) under uncultured Methanosaeta sp. Its description in RNAcentral is "bacterial SSU rRNA". It matches the Rfam family "Archaeal small subunit ribosomal RNA", at positions 852 to 1338 of the family's 1478-position model. Lineage: Archaea; Methanobacteriati; Methanobacteriota; Methanomicrobia; Methanotrichales; Methanotrichaceae. The record is from RNAcentral.